This 486-nucleotide ribosomal RNA is filed under the name uncultured bacterium. Its description in RNAcentral is "bacterial SSU rRNA". It matches the Rfam family "Bacterial small subunit ribosomal RNA", at positions 15 to 507 of the family's 1533-position model. The record is from RNAcentral.
GAUCAUGGCUCAGGAUGAACGCUAGCUACAGGCUUAACACAUGCAAGUCGAGGGGAAACGAUAUUGGAAGCUUGCUUCCGAUAGGCGUCGACCGGCGCACGGGUGAGUAACGCGUAUCCAACCUGCCCAUCACUUGGGGAUAACCUUGCGAAAGUAAGACUAAUACCCAAUGACGUCUCUAGAAGACAUCUGAAGGAGAUUAAAGAUUUAUCGGUGAAGGAUGGGCUCGCGUCUGAUUAGAUAGUUGGUGGGGUAAUGGCCUACCAAGUCGACGAUCAGUAGCCGGACUGAGAGGUUGAACGGCCACAUUGGGACUGAGACACGGCCCAGACUCCUACGGGAGGCAGCAGUGGGGAAUAUUGCACAAUGGGCGCAAGCCUGAUGCAGCAACGCCGCGUGGAGGAAGACGGUUUUCGGAUUGUAAACUCCUGUUCUUAGUGAAGAAUAAUGACGGUAGCUAAGGAGCAAGCCACGGCUAACUACGUG